GACGAACGCUGGCGGCGUGCUUAACACAUGCAAGUCGAACGGUAAGGCCCUUCGGGGUACACGAGUGGCGAACGGGUGAGUAACACGUGGGUGAUCUACCCUGCACUUCGGGAUAAGCCUGGGAAACUGGGUCUAAUACCGGAUAGGACUCCUGGCUUCAUGGUUGGGGGUGGAAAGCUUUUGCGGUGUGGGAUGGGCGCGCGGCCUAUCAGCUUGUUGGUGGGGUAAUGGCCUACCAAGGCGACGACGGGUAGCCGGCCUGAGAGGGUGACCGGUCACACUGGGGCUGAGAUACGGCCCAGACUCCUACGGGAGGCAGCAGUGGGGAAUAUUGCACAAUGGGCGCAAGCCUGAUGCAGCGACGCCGCGUGAGGGAUGACGGCCUUCGGGUUGUAAACCUCUUUCAGCUAUGACGAAGCGCAAGUGACGGUAGUAGCAGAAGAAGGACCGGCCAACUACGUGCCAGCCGCCGCCGUAA
This 478-nucleotide ribosomal RNA is filed under the name uncultured bacterium. RNAcentral describes it as "partial 16S ribosomal RNA". It matches the Rfam family "Bacterial small subunit ribosomal RNA", at positions 28 to 523 of the family's 1533-position model. The record is from RNAcentral.